This is a long non-coding RNA of Aethalodelphis obliquidens (Pacific white-sided dolphin), 1663 nucleotides long. RefSeq lists it as uncharacterized. The record is from RefSeq and is a predicted model, not a curated record. The transcript has 2 exons. NCBI's taxonomy places the organism in Eukaryota, Metazoa, Chordata, Mammalia, Artiodactyla, Delphinidae.
GCGCCAGGCUUGCUGGAGGUUUUGGGAACAGCGGGGUUGCAGUCAGCGUGGGGGAAAAGGGGGUCACCGGCUGGCCGCUUGAGACACGAGUCAGGGGAGGGCUUGGAGUUGGUGAACGGUGCUUCAUGAGUCUCCGAGGAGUCCGAGACCCUGUAACCUGUUGCCGGCUGUGGCAGAUGAGACUCGGAAGACUCCACGUGUGCAAGUGAAUCUGGAAGGAAAGACAGCAGGUUGUUGCAAGUGUUUAUCGCUGCAUGCGCCACAAUUCCUGAGCCUGCGCUCUAGAGCCCAUGAGCGCGCCUAGAUCCCGCGCUUUGCAGCAAGAGAAGCCACUGCAGUGAGAAGCCCGCGCACCACAACUAGAGAAAACACGUGUGCUGCGAUGAAGACCCAACCCAGCCAAUAAGAAAAAACUUUUUUUAAAAAAGUGUUUAUCUCUGGUUAAUGAGUGGUAUGGAGGACUUUCACUUUAGAUUUAUAUCCUUCUGAAUGUUUAAAUUUGCAAGUGACAUAUAUAGCUGAUCAGGGUAUUUCCCAUUAUCAAAACUUAAAUUUUUAGUUUAUUUUAUUGGUUUUUAGAUUCUCUCAGUCUCAUGAAUUGUAAAGCCCAAAAGUCCUAAAGACUUUGAACAUAAGUCAUUGUGUCAGUUAUCAGCGUAUUGCCUCUCAGGUCCAAAUACAUACUUCAACAUAGGCUCUGUGAUAAAAAACUGAAUUCCUUUAAGCAUUUCUUCUUUAAAGUGAGCACGAUGUUAAGCCUUCUCAGUUAAGUUCGCUGGAGGAAGAAGCUUCCUGCAGUUUCUGGGACCUGACCAGAGUUAGGAGUGUGGUUAGGAGAGACCGGACCAGAGGUAGGAGUGUGGUCAUGAAAACAUCCAGUGGGGUCCGCUCCAGCCACAGACCCAAACUCGGUCCUUCUGCAACCUUGCAGCUUCAGCCUGGCAAUAACCUGUAUGCAGCCCUCUUGACACAGAAACCAGAGCCCUGCGAGGCCUGCAGGCAACCACCUGCCCAUUGUCCUUCAGCAAGACUUUUGGGGGUCAGGGUCACACACUGAGCAGUCCUUCCGCCCCCCACCCCAGUAUUCCCCCCAGGCCUCUUGAAGGCCUUCUGUCCCUGCUGGCUCCCAGAUUCCCGUGGUUCCCCACAGGGCCAGUUGGUGAUUGCUCGCCUCCACCCGCUUCUCUGCCGUCUGCCUAGCAACUCCAGACUGCCUGCAGCCUGGCUAAACCAGCAAACUUCUCUGCUGUCUGGUAGCCAACCCUUGCUUUCUCCAACGAGAUCCAGACCCCUCUCAAAUUUGUCCUUGCAUACUCUCCCUCAGCCCUAGUUACCAUAUAGUUUCCUUUUAUCUUACAGUUCACUUUUAUCAUAGUUAAUUCUUGACAUGCAAAUUCUCUUGUUUAACCUACCAUGUGGUUUCUUCUUAUUGGAUCCAGACUACUGCAGGACUUUGAAGCCAAACUAGGUAGGUUCUACUACUUACUAUUUGUGUGACCUUGGGCAAAAUUACUUCACCUCUUUAUGCCUCAAUUUCUUCAUCUAAAAUGAAGUUAAUGAUAAUAACACCUACCUCAUAGGGUUGUUAUGAGGGUUGACUAAAUUUAUGUAUAUAAAGCAGUUAGAAUAUGUGCUGACACAUAAUAAUAAAUGUUAGCUGGGA